CCUCUCCCCCUAUUGAAUCUCCUCUUCCCCUCAUUGAGUCUCCUCUUCCUUCUUCCACCAUUGAGCCUCCUCUCCCCCUUUUGAGUCUCCUCUCCCCAUGCCCUUCCUUGUCUCGGACUCAGGCACCAGGUCCCAUCAAUGCUGUCUCCUGGACCGGCUCUCUCAUCAGACAGUGACAAGGAGGGAGAAGAUGAGGGGACUGAAGAAGAACUUCCAGCACUGCCCGUCCUUGCCAAGAGAACCAAGAAGGCACUGGCCUCGGUCCUCAGCCCAGCCUUGCCCCGAAGCCUGUCCCACUGGGAGAUGAGUCGGAGAAGAGCUCAAGGUGGAGAGGACAAAGGACCCCUAAGCCAGAUAGUUAGAACUAAAAUGCAGGAAAUCAAGGAUCAAAAGAGCGGAGAUCUGGAGAAACAGUUCUAAAGACCCCGGUUAGGAGGUAAGCGGAGAACUUCCAGAAUAGUUAGAGGGAAAAGGCCAUGAGGGGACCCAUAACUCAGCGACUGCCCUGGGGUGGCCAAAGGGGGAUCAAGGUGUUCAGAGCAACUUCCCAAGCACCAGUACCUUCCGUUGUCAGCAACAGUUUCACAGAGUGAUGAUGCUGUGGUGUCUCUGGAGCACCCUGACUGGGCCAGGGGUCUCAGGCCUGGGCUAUAGGUUUGUCCUUGGUGCUGUGAAGGGACUUUGGGGCCCCCAGCUAUUGGAGUGAUUGGGGUAGAGAGGCAA
Molecule: long non-coding RNA, 723 nt
Filed under: Pan troglodytes (chimpanzee)
Lineage: Eukaryota; Metazoa; Chordata; Mammalia; Primates; Hominidae
Description: lncRNA (ENSPTRG00000054348.1)
Source: RNAcentral